UACGUAGGGAGCAAGCGUUGUCCGGAAUCAUUGGGCGUAAAGCGCGCGUAGGCGGCCGGUCAAGUGCGGCGUGAAAGUCCUGGGCUCAACCCGGGGACAGCGCUGCGGACUGUUCGGCUGGAGUCCGGAAGAGGGUGGUGGAAUUCCGAGUGUAGAGGUGAAAUUCGUAGAUAUUCGGAGGAACACCGGUGGCGACGGCGGCCACCUGGUCCGGUACUGACGCUCAAGCGCGAAAGCGUGGGGAGCAAACAGG
RNAcentral lists this ribosomal RNA (253 nucleotides) under uncultured bacterium. RNAcentral describes it as "partial 16S ribosomal RNA". It matches the Rfam family "Bacterial small subunit ribosomal RNA", at positions 524 to 776 of the family's 1533-position model. The record is from RNAcentral.